GACGAACGCUGGCGGCGUGCUUAACACAUGCAAGUCGAACGGUAAGGCUCCAGCUUGCUGGGGUACACGAGUGGCGAACGGGUGAGUAACACGUGGGUGACCUGCCCUGCACUUCGGGAUAAGCCUGGGAAACUGGGUCUAAUACCGGAUAGGACCGCACCGUGAGGGUGUGGUGGAAAGUUUUUUCGGUGUGGGAUGGGCCCGCGGCCUAUCAGCUUGUUGGUGGGGUAAUGGCCUACCAAGGCGGCGACGGGUAGCCGGCCUGAGAGGGUGGACGGCCACAUUGGGACUGAGACACGGCCCAGACUCCUACGGGAGGCAGCAGUGGGGAGUAUUGCACAAUGGGCGGAAGCCUGAUGCAGCGACGCCGCGUGGGGGAUGACGGCCUUCGGGUUGUAAACUCCUUUCACCAUCGACGAAGGGUUUCUGACGGUAGAUGGAGAAGAAGCACCGGCUAACUACGUGCCAGCAGCCGCGGUAAUACGUAGGGUGCGAGCGUUGUCCGGAAUUACUGGGCGUAAAGAGCUCGUAGGUGGUUUGUCGCGUCGUCUGUGAAAUUCCGGGGCUUAACUCCGGGCGUGCAGGCGAUACGGGCAUAACUUGAGUACUGUAGGGGAGACUGGAAUUCCUGGUGUAGCGGUGAAAUGCGCAGAUAUCAGGAGGAACACCGGUGGCGAAGGCGGGUCUCUGGGCAGUAACUGACGCUGAGGAGCGAAAGCAUGGGGAGCGAACAGGAUUAGAUACCCUGGUAGUCCAUGCCGUAAACGGUGGGCGCUAGGUGUGGGUUUCCUUCCACGGGAUCCGUGCCGUAGCUAACGCAUUAAGCGCCCCGCCUGGGGAGUACGGCCGCAAGGCUAAAACUCAAAGGAAUUGACGGGGGCCCGCACAAGCGGCGGAGCAUGUGGAUUAAUUCGAUGCAACGCGAAGAACCUUACCUGGGCUUGACAUAUACAGGAUCGCGCCAGAGAUGGUGUUUCCCUUGUGGCUUGUAUACAGGUGGUGCAUGGUUGUCGUCAGCUCGUGUCGUGAGAUGUUGGGUUAAGUCCCGCAACGAGCGCAACCCUUGUCUUAUGUUGCCAGCACGUUGUGGUGGGGACUCGUAAGAAACUGCCGGGGUUAACUCGGAGGAAGGUGGGGAUGACGUCAAAUCAUCAUGCCCCUUAUGUCCAGGGCUUCACACAUGCUACAAUGGUCGGUACAGUGGGUUGCCAGUCCGUGAGGGCGAGCUAAUCCCGCAAAGCCGGUCUCAGUUCGGAUCGGGGUCUGCAACUCGACCCCGCGAAGUCGGAGUCGCUAGUAAUCGCAGAUCAGCAACGCUGCGGUGAAUACGUUCCCGGGCCU
RNAcentral lists this ribosomal RNA (1341 nucleotides) under uncultured bacterium. RNAcentral describes it as "partial 16S ribosomal RNA". It matches the Rfam family "Bacterial small subunit ribosomal RNA", at positions 28 to 1381 of the family's 1533-position model. The record is from RNAcentral.